Molecule: unclassified non-coding RNA, 301 nt
Filed under: Athelopsis sp.
Lineage: Eukaryota; Fungi; Basidiomycota; Agaricomycetes; Atheliales; Atheliaceae
Also listed under: 1 other name
Description: partial contains 5.8S ribosomal RNA, internal transcribed spacer 2, and large subunit ribosomal RNA
Rfam family: 5.8S ribosomal RNA (bases 1-52)
Source: RNAcentral
AACGCACCUUGCGCCCUCUGGUAUUCCGGAGGGCAUGCCUGUUUGAGUGUCUUGAUAUCAUCAAACCCUCGGGUUCGCGCCCGCUGCGGUUUGGAGUUGGGGGCUUUUGCUGCCGUGAGGCGGCUCCCCUUAAAAUCAUCGGUUUGGCCCGUAUCUUGCGGCUAGCACCUUUGGCGUUGUAUUUCCCUCGCCUUCGAUCGGUCUUGCUCGCUUCCGCGCCUCACCCCGACUUGCCCUUUGGGUGGCGGUCACUUCUUGACAAUCUGGCCUCAAAUCAGGUAGGACUACCCGCUGAACUUAA